CAGACUCAGUGGAGUUAGUGCUACCGGAAACUCGUUUGUUCGUUGAAUCGAGUUUCCGGUGAACGAGAGAAACAAACCGGAUCGGUUCGUUCGUCCUUAAGACUCGUUCAUAGGAACCGGUUCGCGAACGAGCCAACACUACUGUUCAUUUAAGAAAAUGACAGCUCCGAAGAGACGCCGCUUGUUUAGUUUGGAGGAGACGGAAAAAUUGAGGAGACAUCCCUGUUGGUGGAUUAGAGGGACCCUGUGUGGAGCCAUUCCCCCAGGACAGAGCAGCCCCCAGCAGCUAGACUACUGACAGAGAAGCCCUCUUUUCCAGAGAGGAUUCAAUAAGACCUGGAAGGAGCAGCAUGUACUAUUCUUACAAAUAUACAGAUUGUAAGUCGCUUUCGAUAAAAGCGACUGCUAAUUGCCCUAAAUGUAUAUGUACUUUUGGACAGGCCUGGCUCUGUCUCUACAACUCUGCUUUACUGUCUUUAAGGUUUAAUUACGCAUGGGCACACACGCCACAAACGUGGUGUUAUUUCAAGUUGUGUACUGGGUUUUAGUGGUAUUGUCUUUGGUGUUAUUUGAAUCUUUGUGCUUGAAAAUGCACUUAAAAUGUCUUUGUUUAGGUAAAAUCACCCUUCAGUCGGUUUCCAGUUGGUGGUUUAAAAUGAAUGUGGUUAUAAUGUUUAUUAAAUAUAAAUGUUCUCCUUG
Gadus morhua (Atlantic cod) is the source of this 699-nucleotide long non-coding RNA. RefSeq lists it as uncharacterized. Lineage: Eukaryota; Metazoa; Chordata; Actinopteri; Gadiformes; Gadidae. The transcript is spliced from 2 exons. The record is from RefSeq and is a predicted model, not a curated record.